This 431-nucleotide ribosomal RNA is filed under the name uncultured bacterium. Its description in RNAcentral is "partial 16S ribosomal RNA". It matches the Rfam family "Bacterial small subunit ribosomal RNA", at positions 355 to 773 of the family's 1533-position model. The record is from RNAcentral.
UGGGGAAUUUUGGACAAUGGGCGAAAGCCUGAUCCAGCAAUGCCGCGUGUGUGAAGAAGGCCUUCGGGUUGUAAAGCACUUUUGUCCGGAAAGAAAUCCUUGGCUCUAAUACAGUCGGGGGAUGACGGUACCGGAAGAAUAAGCACCGGCUAACUACGUGCCAGCAGCCGCGGUAAUACGUAGGGUGCAAGACGUUGAAUUCGGAAUUACUGGGGCGUAAAGCGUGCGCAGGCGGUUUGCUAAGACCGAUGUGAAAUCCCCGGGCUCAACCUGGGAACUGCAUUGGUGACUGGCAGGCUAGAGUAUGGCAGAGGGGGGUAGAAUUCCACGUGUAGCAGUGAAAUGCGUAGAGAUGUGGAGGAAUACCGAUGGCGAAGGCAGCCCCCUGGGCCAAUACUGACGCUCAUGCACGAAAGCGUGGGGGAGCAAAC